AUGAGCUCAGGCGUCACUGGCCCUCUGAAUGCCGUUUAUGACAUGCUUCUUGCCAGCAUUUACUCACGCAGGCUUCCAUUAGAAAAAGAUUGCCACCGUAACUGCGCAGAUGUUGUACGGUUCACUUUUACACCUGCUUCUUAUGGGCAAGACUUUUCUCUUCUUGACCUCUUCAUCCUAAAAAAAUGUUCUGUCUUCUUACAGUCUCCUCGGUUUUGUUUUCUAGGUUCUUUUUUCAUCUUUAUCUCACUUGACUUGUGGGAUUCGAUUGAUUGGCACGUUUUUUUGGCAAAUAGAUUGAUUGGCACCUUGAGCAUUCUUUCAACUAAGUUGGUCGUCUUAAUAUCUUAG
This 351-nucleotide ribosomal RNA is filed under the name Triticum aestivum (bread wheat). Its description in RNAcentral is "partial small subunit ribosomal RNA". The record is from RNAcentral. Lineage: Eukaryota; Viridiplantae; Streptophyta; Magnoliopsida; Poales; Poaceae.